AAUCAAAUAAAAAUCUGCGGCGGGAGCGUAGAGUAGCCCGUGCAUUCCAUUCCAAGGCCUCUGUGUGCCCGCGGAGUAGCCAUCAUGAGCAAAGCUCACCCUCCCGAGUUGAAAAAAUUUAUGGACAAGAAGUUAUCAUUGAAAUUAAAUGGUGGCAGACAUGCCCAAGGAAUAUUGCGGGGAUUUGAUCCCUUUAUGAAUCUUGUGAUAGAUGAAUGUGUGGAGAUGGCGACUAGCGGACAACAGAACAAUAUUGGAAUGGUGGUAAUACGAGGAAAUAGCAUCAUCAUGUUAGAAGCCUUGGAACGAGUAUAAAUAAUGGCUGUUCAGCGGAGAAACCCAUGUCCUCUCUCCAUAGGGCCUGUUUUACUAUGAUGUAAAAAUUAGGUCAUGUACAUUUUCAUAUUAGACUUUUUGCUAAAUAAACUUUUGUAAUAGUCAAAAAAAAAAAAAAAA
This is an RNA transcript of Sapajus apella (tufted capuchin), 456 nucleotides long. It is a transcript of the gene named small nuclear ribonucleoprotein G pseudogene, with no coding region annotated. NCBI's taxonomy places the organism in Eukaryota, Metazoa, Chordata, Mammalia, Primates, Cebidae. The record is from RefSeq and is a predicted model, not a curated record. The transcript has a single exon.